UUUAUGGAGAGUUUGAUCCUGGCUCAGGAUGAACGCUGGCGGCGUGCGUAACGCAUGUAAGUCGAACGGUGAACUGCGCUAUUCGUAGUGCGGGGAACAGUGGCGAACUGGUGAGUAACACGUAAGUGACCUGCCCCAAAGAGGGGAAUAACCUUUCGAAAGGGAGGCUAAUACCCCGUGUGGUCGCGCAUUCGUUUGUGCGAUUAAAGGCUCCGGCGCUUUGGGAGGGGCUUGCGGCCCAUCAGCUAGUUGGUAGGGUAACGGCCUACCAAGGCGAAGACGGGUAGCUGGUCUGAGAGGACGAUCAGCCACAAUGGCACUGAAACACGGGCCAUACUCCUACGGGAGGCAGCAGCGAGGAAUAUUGCACAAUCGACGCAAGUCGGAUGCAGCAACGCCGCGUGGACGAUGAAGGCCUUCGGGUUGUAAAGUCCUUUUAAGAGGGAAGAGGAAGGACGGUACCUCUUGAACAAGUCUCGGCUAACUACGUGCCAGCAGCCGCGGUAACACGUAGGAGGCAAGCGUUAUCCGGAUUUAUUGGGCGUAAAGCGCGCGCAGGUGGUUGUGUAAGUCGGGUGUGAAAGCCCCAGGCUCAAUCUGGGGAGGUCAUUCGAUACUGCACGGCUUGAGAGCGGGAGAGGGAAGUGGAAUUCCGGGUGUAGUGGUGAUAUGCGUAGAUAUCCGGAGGAACACCAGUGGCGAAGGCGGCUUCCUGGCCCGUUUCUGACACUAAGGCGCGAAAGCGUGGGGAGCGAACGGACUUAGAUACUCCGGUAGUCCACGCUGUAAACGAUGGGUACUAGGUGUGGGGAGUACUGACUCUCUCUGUGCCAAAGCUAACGCAUUAAGUACCCCGCCUGGGGACUACGGCCGCAAGGCUAAAACUCAAAGGAAUUGACGGGGGCCCGCACAAGCAGCGGAGCGUGUGGUUCAAUUCGAAGUUACACGAAGAACCUUACCUGGGCUUGACAUGUGGGUAGUAGUGAAGCGAAAGCGGAACGAUCCUUCGGGAAGCCUACACAGGUGCUGCAUGGCUGUCGUCAGCUCGUGCCGUGAGGUGUUGGGUUAAGUCCUGUAACGAGCGCAACCCUCGCUGCCAGUUACAAGUGUCUGGCGGGACUGCCGGUGAUAAACUGGAGGAAGGUGGGGAUGAUGUCAAGUCAGCAUGGCCUUUAUGUCCAGGGCUACACACACGCUACAAUGGUCGGUACAAUGGGUUGCCAAGCCGUGAGGCGGAGCUAAUCCUUAAAACCGGUCUCAGUUCGGAUUGCAGGCUGCAACUCGCCUGCAUGAAGUUGGAGUUGCUAGUAAACGCGCGUCAGCAAUAGUGCGUUGAAUACGUUCCCGGGCCUUGUACACACCGCCCGUCACGUCAUGGGAGUUGGUAACACCUGAAGUCGGUGGGCUAACCCGCAAGGGGGGCAGCUGUCGAAGGUGGGAUCGGCGACUGGGACGAAGUCGUAACAAGGUAGCCGUAGCGGAAGCUGCGGCUGGAUCACCUCCUUU
RNAcentral lists this ribosomal RNA (1506 nucleotides) under Anaerolineae bacterium. RNAcentral describes it as "bacterial SSU rRNA". It matches the Rfam family "Bacterial small subunit ribosomal RNA". The record is from RNAcentral. Lineage: Bacteria; Bacillati; Chloroflexota; Anaerolineae.